Molecule: unclassified non-coding RNA, 1065 nt
Filed under: Hevea brasiliensis (rubber tree)
Lineage: Eukaryota; Viridiplantae; Streptophyta; Magnoliopsida; Malpighiales; Euphorbiaceae
Source: RNAcentral
UUCCCUUUCAAAGAAGAAGAAAAAAAAAAUCACUCAUAAAAACAAAAAAAAAAAAACAAAAUCAACCAAAUGAAUGAAGAUUCUUGCUCAACCCAUUAGCAUUAGAGAAAAAACCAACCACGUCCUGUCUAUACGGCAAGAAGGACCGCCGUUUAUGAUCCUCUUCCUUGAGGGCUCUGUUCUUCGCGUGAUGCUCCUUAACCAUUGCUUUCCCGUCCUUGUCUUUCUCUUUGUUCUCUUUACCUUCAUCCUCUAUUACUCUUUCACUGCUCUUCUUCACCGGCGUCAAGAACACGAAGGUAUCUUUUCCAUCGCUAUUACUCCUGUAAAGCAAGUCUCGAAACUUCCAUCUCUUCGAAGACCCAGUGGAGCUGCUUUUCUUGCACUUUCCGGGGGUUUCCUUUCCCUUCUUUGGAGUCCACACGCAGUAAGUCCCAGCAGGCACAGUUUCCAGCUCGUCGGCCUCCGAAGACGAGCACGACGUCGUUUCUCGCUCUUCACUGAAGAGUUUCCUCAAUGGUAAUCUGAUGGGUUUGGGGGUUUGGUUGUCGGAGACAGCGGAUGAUGGUUUGGAUAAUUCUUCCCGGUCGUCUGUCAGCAACGCUGUGUUGAAUACCGGAUAGAAUGGCCUUAUCUGGCCGUUAUAGAAGAUCUCAUCAGCUGAAAUGGGCGACGCGUCCGGCUCUGUACACAAAAUUGCAAACUCGAACUCUUCCUCGUCAUCAUCGCCGCGUCCGAGUUUCUUGUGUUCUUCUCCUUCUUGUAUUGGCGGUGACAAAAGUCCCUCUGGCUUCCAAGAGAAAAGGGUGGAGUCAUCUUCGGAUUCAUUAGAGAAUUCUUGAACGACUCUAGCUGCAAUCUCAGCGAGCUUCCCAGAAGAAUAAGAGUUGAAGCUGGGGGAGCUUGGAGAGAGGGCGAUGAGUGAUGCCUGCAUCUGCAGCAGCUUUUCAAUGGCGAUACACAAAUUUUGGUGUAUUCUUUGAGAGAGAAAUAGUGCCCCAAAAGGUUUUGGCUUAAAAUUAAUCAGAAACCAAAAUCGGUUCGAUGGGCUUCUCUAGGAUUUGU